AUUGAACGCUAGCGGGAUGCUUUACACAUGCAAGUCGAACGAGUGGCGGACGGGUGAGUAAUAUAUCGGAACGUGCCCAGUAGCGGGGGAUAACUACUCGAAAGAGUGGCUAAUACCGCACACUAUUGGAGCGACCGAUACCGGAUUAGCUAGUUGGGGGGGUAAAGGUUCACCAAGGCCACGAUCCGUAGCCGGUCUGAGAGGACGACCAGCCACACUGGGACGUAUACACGGCCCGUACUCCUACGGGAGGCAACAGUGAGGAAUUUUGGACAAUGGGGGAAGCCCUGAUGCAGCCGUCCCGCGUAUAUGAAAAGGCCUUCGGGUAGUAAAGUACUUUUGGCAGAGAAGCGGUAUCUGCAGAAUAUGCACCGGCUAACUACGUGCCAGCAGCCGCGGUAAUUC
RNAcentral lists this ribosomal RNA (405 nucleotides) under uncultured bacterium. RNAcentral describes it as "partial 16S ribosomal RNA". It matches the Rfam family "Bacterial small subunit ribosomal RNA", at positions 30 to 526 of the family's 1533-position model. The record is from RNAcentral.